Liolophura sinensis is the source of this 532-nucleotide long non-coding RNA. RefSeq lists it as uncharacterized. Lineage: Eukaryota; Metazoa; Mollusca; Polyplacophora; Chitonida; Chitonidae. The record is from RefSeq and is a predicted model, not a curated record. The transcript has 3 exons.
CAAUCAUAUAGCCCUUCUCUUCCCCAAACCGUUAUCUCUGGAACCUGUGAGAGUUUUCUGACGAAAUGUCAUCUGACUUUAAUCUAGUUAAUUGAAAACCAAGAAUCACGGGAUUUUGGGUGAUUAAAGCAUUUCAUCUGUGGAUCAUCUCUGAUACGGUUUAUGUUGUCGUUGUUGUUGCAGGAUGAAGACUUGGUUGAUCGCGUUGUUGUUGUCGCAUUUGGCAGUCGGCGUUCUGUGUUCAAAUCAAGCCCCAUUUCUGGUAUGUGAUGACGCAUCCUUCCAGACUAAAAUCCCCUUCUGUGCGUGCAGACCAGCUUUCUUCCCUCCAGAAAUUGACCUGGAAGAGUACUGCCUAUUCGUCAGGUUAUACACUACCCUGGUGGGUUUAGCAAGAGAUGCUGACUGCUGCCCCGACGUGUCUGUAUAACGUCAUGUGGAGUCCCGACCGAAGAGUAAAGAAGAUGUUUGACUGAAAUCUGAUCUCGUUAUUUAAUAAAGACCGUUUAUAUACAUUUUGUUUAUGCAUUUA